This is a long non-coding RNA of Panonychus citri (citrus red mite), 990 nucleotides long. RefSeq lists it as uncharacterized. The record is from RefSeq and is a predicted model, not a curated record. The transcript is spliced from 3 exons. Lineage: Eukaryota; Metazoa; Arthropoda; Arachnida; Trombidiformes; Tetranychidae.
AUGAAUUCGAUACUCGAAAGGUUCAGUUGGUUUCUUUGAUCGUGAUUUAGUUGUGAUAAUAUGAAAUCUUCGUAAAUAAUUGUGAAUUAAUUAAUUGAUUUUUUCUUUUGCCAACGAUUAAAUUAUUUUUCCAUUGAAAAUAAUGGCCACAGUUCUUCAUGUUGAUCUCCAUUGUUUUUUUAAUUAUUUUAAUUAUUUGUUAUUCUUACUAUGUUAAAGCUUAUCGAUCAAAUCAAUUUAAUUUGUUCACUUCGAAAAUUGUUCCUGAUCUCAAUCAACUUGGAUUCUUAUGCAUAUUGUUAAAAUAAGCAAAUCACGGUCAGAGGCUUCAUCUUAAUUUCCCUAGAACUUUUUGGAUCUAAUUGUACAACUCAUGAAUUUGGUUCGAAGUCAAUUUGCAUUACUAGAUUUUUACGUUGACAAAAAACUGAAAGAACUGGAAAAUAAGUCAAAAACUGAAGGAUUUGGGGACGAGAAUGAUGGUAACCACAAUUAACAUAUUAUGGCUGAGAAGUUCCCAAUCGAUUCGGAAUUAGGUAUAAAUACUAUCCAGUUGCCCGAUGAAUGUCAGUCCAAAAGGUUGAAAUCGUUGGUGCGACGAUGUUUGGCCUAUGGAUGCAUAGGACUUUCGAUAUCUAUUUAUUUGUUAUUUCUGUUCAUCAUUGUAUCGCUAUUUUAUUCAGCACUACAACCGACGUAGAAAUUGGUUCGAAGUCAAUUCCACAAUUUACUUAAAUGAAAAAUUCUUAUUUAUUGUCACUCGAAGGCACAAAAGAAACUCAAGCAAGAGAUCCAACAAUUAAUUUAUUCAUAUUGUAAUUUUCAUUGAUUAGAUUUAUUUUACUAUAAAUGUUAAAUUAUGAUAAAUUUUACUUUACCGAAAUUGUUAUUGCACAGAAAUGAGUUUAAUUGUGUUACCGAUUGAUUGUCUUCAUUACUUGUCAUCCUGAUCUAAUUUAAUAAAACAAACUGAUGAAUUAUUAUCCACAA